Long non-coding RNA from Anopheles coluzzii, 850 nucleotides. RefSeq lists it as uncharacterized. The record is from RefSeq and is a predicted model, not a curated record. The transcript has 3 exons. NCBI's taxonomy places the organism in Eukaryota, Metazoa, Arthropoda, Insecta, Diptera, Culicidae.
ACUUGAGUUCCCAAGUAGCAGAGCCGAAGUUUUUCAGAGAUUUUUCUGUGUGCCAAAGCGAGAUGCCCUGUCUUCUCUCUCUAGAUUUUGGACAGCAAACCGCUGCGCGUGUAGAGGUGUGUGCGUGUGACGAACAACGAUGGAUGAAAAACGCGAGGAGCGGGGUCCGAAGUCUUUCGUUGGUCACACACACAUGCAUCUACCGUUGGAUUGCGCUACAUCGAGUCUACCCAUCUCUCUCGAUCUACCAUGAUUUUUUCUGCUAUCGCACUCAUCUGGGAGUUAGGCAUCCUCAGUCUGCCCAGAACUUUCGUUGUGGAAGGAUGUGCGGGAGUGAUGUGCGAUUUCUUGUGUCCCCUACUUUCCUUGUUUACGUUUUGCGCAGUGUUGCUUCUUCUUCCAUUGUGGAAUGAUUUAUCCUAGCAAAUUGUUGAGUUACAGGUGCAUGCGCCAUUCAUCAACGCCUACCUGUUGGCAUCAUCAACAAUCUUUAUAGUAGGUGACGGAAAGAAAUUGUUUUCCAGUUUUAAAAUAUUAAGCGUUCAGCACAACUCAGCCACAAAACAACGCACUGGAUUGCGCUAAGAACCUGUCGAAACGCGCGCAGCCCCCGGGAGCGGUAGGAGAAAGGAAGAACGAGAGGAGAAAAAACUAAAGCCAGCGCGCAGCUCUGAUGGUACCCCGUACGCGGUAAGAAGAAAAAAGAUCGAGAGGAGGAAGAACGGUAAAUUUGGAAGGGGGCGACCGUUCUGCCGUCUCCACAGUGCGAGUAUGCCAAAGCACGUGUUGGAAGGGAGAGAAAAAGUGUGGAAUAAACCGCAUGCGAAUGUGUGCAUACAGCAAAAGUAAA